CAACGGUGAAUAGUGGGACUGCUGCUGUGUUUUUGUCGUUUUUUUUUCUCUAAAUUGGACCUUUUAUUAGUUAAUUUAUAUAUUGUUUUAUUCAUAUCCAGGUUGAUGACAGGCCCAGUCCAGUUUCAGUGGAAGAGAAUAUCAUUGAGGUUGAUGACAGGCCCAGUCCAGUUUCAGUGGAAGAGAAUAUCAUUGAGGUUGAUGACAGGCCCAGUCCAGUUUCAGUGGAAGAGAGAGUCAGGGAAAGGCCAGGAUGCCAAAUCAACUUUUGCUUAUUUCAAGAGACCCAAGUCAGAUGAUUUUUUUGUUUCCACCCUAUGCAGAAAAAAAAAAAAAAAUCUGUGUUACAGAGGGUUUUCUGUUUUAAAGACGGUCCAAUCGUAAAUGGCUGUCAUACAAUGAAGAAAGCCAUGCGUUAUACUGUUCAAUGUGGAUGGCAUUUGCGAAGCCUACCGACAGCAGUAUUUUUAUGAGUGGAAUGACGGAUUGGAAACAUGUUCACCAAAGGAUAGAAGAGCAUGAGAAGAGCAACACGCACAGAAAUAGUGCUGAGACAAAACUUUUUAAUGUCCUCCAAAGCAGACAGUCAAAGUCUGUUCAGUGGCAGUCAGGUGUCUGCCCACAGAGAGCAGGUACACAGGAGAAGGCAGGUGUCUGCCCACAGAGAGCAGGUACACAGGAGAAAGGUGUCUGCCCACAGAGAGCAGGUACGCAGGAGAAGACAGGUGUCUGCCCACAGAGAGCAGGUACACAGGAGAAGGCAGGUGUCUGCCCACAGAGAGCAGGUACACAGGAGAAAGGUGUCUGCCCACAGAGAGCAGGUACGCAGGAGAAGACAGGUGUCUGCCCACAGAGAGCAGGUACGCAGGAGAAGGCAGGUGUCUGCCCACAGAGAGCAGGUACGCAGGAGAAGGCAGGUGUCUGCCCACAGAGAGCAGGUACGCAGGAGAAGGCAGGUGUCUGCCCACAGAGAGCAGGUACACAGGAGAAGGCAGGUGUCUGCCCACAGAGAGCAGGUACACAGGAGAAGGCAGGUGCUGGAACGUGUCGUAGACGUGAUGAAAGUCAUUGGCAAGAUGGGGGCUCAGUUACAGGGGGAUGCAGUCUGAGGCUGCGUCUACAUUAGAGGACACCAGUAUCCAUCACGGUAAUUUCUUAGAGAUGAUAAUGCUGCUUGAAAGAACAUCUCACCGAAUGCAUUGAGAAAAGCAAGAACCUACAUCAGUCCUGGGGCAAGAGGCAGAGGUUCUCUAAUCACACUCCUCUCAAAAAAUACUGUCAACACCGUCAUUCACACAAUUUAGAGCAUUAUCCAAGAGAUCACGACAACUGAAAUUGAGCAAGCUGGAAUGUUCUCUGUCCAG
This 1364-nucleotide long non-coding RNA is filed under the name Salmo salar (Atlantic salmon). Its description in RNAcentral is "lncRNA (ENSSSAG00000116000.1)". The record is from RNAcentral. Lineage: Eukaryota; Metazoa; Chordata; Actinopteri; Salmoniformes; Salmonidae.